UAAAAAUUUAGUUAAAUAAUAACAUUAGCUUGUCAAGCUAAAAUUACUUAAUUAAGUAAUUUUU
This 64-nucleotide transfer RNA is filed under the name Nitidulidae sp. 1 ACP-2013. RNAcentral describes it as "tRNA-Asp". The record is from RNAcentral. Lineage: Eukaryota; Metazoa; Arthropoda; Insecta; Coleoptera; Nitidulidae.